GAAUUCGCCCUUCCUACGGGAGGCAGCAGGCGCGCAAAUUGUCCAAUCCCAAUACAGUGGGGAGACAGUGAAAAGAAAUAUCAAUGCAGGGCUUUUCAGCUUUGCAAUUGGAAUGAGUUUAACCCAAAUCCCUUUACAAGUAUCAAUUGGAGGGCAAGUCUGGUGCCAGCAGCCGCGGUAAUUCCAGCUCCAAUAGCGUAUAUUAAAGUUGUUGCAGUUAAAACGCUCGUAGUCGAAACUCUGUUAGUGAAAACUGGUCAACCCUAGUGGUUUGUACUGGCUGUCAUUGACAUUAAUCCAAGUCAUUCAGCAGGUAAUGCUGUCGGAUAUUUGGAGCUGUUACUUUGAGAAAAUUAGAAGUGUUUCAAGCAUGGCGUAAUGCCUUAGAUACUACAGCAUGGGAUAACCGUGUAGGAUUUAAGUUCUUCUUGGUAGGGUUAAGAACCUGAGUAAUGAUUAAGAGAACCAGUUGGGGGCAGUCGUCCUAAGUCGGAUAAGGGGAAAUUCUUAGAUUGACUGAAACCAACUACUGCGAAAGCAUUGCUGGGAUGGUUUCAUUGGAUCAAACCAAAGUAGGGGAUCGAAU
RNAcentral lists this ribosomal RNA (586 nucleotides) under uncultured apicomplexan. RNAcentral's name for it is "bacterial SSU rRNA". It matches the Rfam family "Eukaryotic small subunit ribosomal RNA", at positions 400 to 1003 of the family's 1831-position model. The record is from RNAcentral. Lineage: Eukaryota; Apicomplexa.